This 948-nucleotide long non-coding RNA is filed under the name Ananas comosus (pineapple). RNAcentral's name for it is "long non-coding RNA (ACOM_LNC040118)". The record is from RNAcentral. Lineage: Eukaryota; Viridiplantae; Streptophyta; Magnoliopsida; Poales; Bromeliaceae.
CUGGGUCCAUGUGCACGCACCUGACCACUAACCAACUAUUUCCUCAACAGUGAUUCUACUUUCACUGUUCAAUCUACCGGAACAAUCUGCAAAACGCUCGAUCUCACAAGAGUUCCACGAACAUCGCGACUAGACUCUCGCAAUCAGCAACUCGCAUUGCUUUGAAACUUAGUUCGUCAUCACCAUUUCUAUCGCGAAUCUCACCUCUUAUCCACAGGCUAUCACCAGCGAUUUGCUAGUGCUCUCAAACUCUCUACCUGCUCCAGCAGGUAUUACAUUCCCACACACAAGCAUACCCGGGCAUCAACGCUUAUCCGUUCACUUGAUCACUACUAUAUUAAGGCAUAAAUAGUAGGGACAGAUCACCUAAUCAAUGCAUACAAUGCACUAAACUUACAUAAUGCAGAAAACAUGCUUGCUGUAAUUAACUCAUACCUGCCACAUUGCUACCAGUCGCAGCAAGUUUCACCACAUGGGUCGCCUAUCCACGACCACUUGCUGCUCGUCGCGAACCCCUCGGUUGCCUUAUCCUCAGUCGCUCUCUAGACCGUGCCGCAGGUGGCACACCCGCAGGCUGUCCCGGAGAGGAAAAUGCUGUCGCCAGCGUCUGGGCUUGGCUAUCGCCGUGCGAGCACUCAUAACCUGGAUGAUCCGGUUGUCCACAUCGAGUGCACUUUCCUUCCCGUUGCACGCAACGUCGUGCCCAGUGGGAACCACCACAAAUCACACAUCUUGGAGAUGAUCGGGUAGAGGACGAUGUCGAGUGGUGUCCAGAACUUGACUGUUUAUCUGACUUAUUUGUUAGUGGCCUCAUCCCUCCUUGCUUACGUUCCUCAGACUCGUGCUCUUCACGCACGAAAGCAUUGUCUUGCUCUAUCCAUAGGGCCCGAUCCACGACUUCAGCAAAAGUCUGCAACUUAAGAUUAUGCACUACUUUGAAAAUAUCAG